UACGGAGGGUGCAAGCGUUACUCGGAAUCACUGGGCGUAAAGCGCGCGCAGGCGGCUAGAUAAGUUGGAAGUGAAAUCCUAUGGCUCAACCAUAGAACUGCUUCCAAAACUGUUUAGCUAGAGUCUGGGAGGGGAAGAUGGAAUUAGUAGUGUAGGGGUAAAAUCCGUAGAGAUUACUAGGAAUACCAAAAGCGAAGGCGAUCUUCUGGAACAGUACUGACGCUGAGGCGCGAAAGCGUGGGGAGCAAACAGGAUUAGAUACCCUGGUAGUCCACGCCCUAAACGAUGAAUGUUAGUCGUCGGGACUCUAGUAGUUUCGGUGAUGCAGUUAACACAUUAAACAUUCCGCCUGGGGAGUACGGUCGCAAGAUUAAAACUCAAAGGAAUAGACGGGGACCCGCACAAGUGGUGGAGCAUGUGGUUUAAUUCGAAGAUACGCGAAGAACCUUACCUAGCCUUGACAUAUUUUAGAACUCCGCAGAGAUGUAGAGGUGCCUUCGGGAGCUAAUAUACAGGUGCUGCACGGCUGUCGUCAGCUCGUGUCGUGAGAUGUUGGGUUAAGUCCCGCAACGAGCGCAACCCUCGUUCUUAGUUACUAACGGUUCGGCCGAGGACUCUAAGAAGACUGCCUUCGUAAGGAGGAGGAAGGUGAGGACGACGUCAAGUCAUCAUGGCCCUUACGGCUAGGGCAACACACGUGCUACAAUGGUUAGGACAAUGAGACGCAAUACCGCGAGGUGGAGCAAAUCUAUAAACCUAAUCUCAGUUCGGAUUGUAGUCUGCAACUCGACUACAUGAAGCUGGAAUCACUAGUAAUCGUAGAUCAGCUAUGCU
Molecule: ribosomal RNA, 834 nt
Filed under: uncultured Sulfurovum sp.
Lineage: Bacteria; Pseudomonadati; Campylobacterota; Epsilonproteobacteria; Campylobacterales; Sulfurovaceae
Description: bacterial SSU rRNA
Rfam family: Bacterial small subunit ribosomal RNA
Source: RNAcentral